RNAcentral lists this ribosomal RNA (943 nucleotides) under Microbacterium arthrosphaerae. Its description in RNAcentral is "bacterial SSU rRNA". It matches the Rfam family "Bacterial small subunit ribosomal RNA", at positions 191 to 1171 of the family's 1533-position model. The record is from RNAcentral. Lineage: Bacteria; Bacillati; Actinomycetota; Actinomycetes; Micrococcales; Microbacteriaceae.
UGGCUCGUGGUUGGAAAGAUUUUUUGGUUGGGGAUGGGCUCGCGGCCUAUCAGCUUGUUGGUGAGGUAAUGGCUCACCAAGGCGUCGACGGGUAGCCGGCCUGAGAGGGUGACCGGCCACACUGGGACUGAGACACGGCCCAGACUCCUACGGGAGGCAGCAGUGGGGAAUAUUGCACAAUGGGCGCAAGCCUGAUGCAGCAACGCCGCGUGAGGGAUGACGGCCUUCGGGUUGUAAACCUCUUUUAGCAAGGAAGAAGCGAAAGUGACGGUACUUGCAGAAAAAGCGCCGGCUAACUACGUGCCAGCAGCCGCGGUAAUACGUAGGGCGCAAGCGUUAUCCGGAAUUAUUGGGCGUAAAGAGCUCGUAGGCGGUUUGUCGCGUCUGCUGUGAAAUCCCGAGGCUCAACCUCGGGCCUGCAGUGGGUACGGGCAGACUAGAGUGCGGUAGGGGAGAUUGGAAUUCCUGGUGUAGCGGUGGAAUGCGCAGAUAUCAGGAGGAACACCGAUGGCGAAGGCAGAUCUCUGGGCCGUAACUGACGCUGAGGAGCGAAAGGGUGGGGAGCAAACAGGCUUAGAUACCCUGGUAGUCCACCCCGUAAACGUUGGGAACUAGUUGUGGGGUCCUUUCCACGGAUUCCGUGACGCAGCUAACGCAUUAAGUUCCCCGCCUGGGGAGUACGGCCGCAAGGCUAAAACUCAAAGGAAUUGACGGGGACCCGCACAAGCGGCGGAGCAUGCGGAUUAAUUCGAUGCAACGCGAAGAACCUUACCAAGGCUUGACAUACACGAGAACACCCUAGAAAUAGGGGACUCUUUUGGACACUCGUGAACAGGUGGGUGCAUGGGUUGUCGUCAGCUCCGUGUCGUGAGAUGUUGGGUUAAGUCCCGCAACGAGCGCAACCCUAAAAAAAAAAAAGGAAAAAGUUUAAUCAGAAAAAGAA